UUUUAUGCUAUUAAUUAAUUCUCAAUUUCAUAAUGUCUUUUAGAAUACUAUGGAAGAAUCAAAGAGCACUUUAAAGUCUUCUACCACUUUAGAAGACAAAAAAUGUCUCACUGAGGGUCAAAUUUUGAAAAAACAAUUAUCAGAAAUGAAAAGGUUGCAUGAAAAGGAAUUGAUUGAACUGCGACAAGCAAAUAUUGAUUUGGAAUUCGAAAAAAAACAAUUGGAAAAAGAUUUCAAAAAAGAACACGACGAAAAUAAGAAUUUGAAAUUACAAGUUAAACAGUUGAAACAAAUGUUAAAUGAAUCUAAUGAACAACUAAACUAAACUAAAAAAUAAACUCCAGAAAUUUACGAUAUUCGCUCUCUUCGUGGUAGGGGCAAUGAAUCCAAGAGCGAUGCCGGCGGUAGCAAAGCUACUGGUAGGGCCACCCAUGCCGGUAAGGUCGAGGAGGAGUCCCGAAGCGAAGACCAAUCCUUAACAAAUCGAAUUGUUUUUUAAACGCAUAUUUACUUUGUUUCAUCAAAAACUAUGGAGGGAAGCAAAACUUUACGUUAUGUUUGUACUCUGACAACCUUAAAAAUAAAUCUCACUCUCAAAGUGUAAUGUCCACCAUUCAAAGGUUUAACUCUUUAAAUGUUAUCCAAGAAAGCAAGAGGUAUCAUCGACUAGCAUCCAAUCCGCAUACUAUUUUGUUUCCUUCAAUUCAUAUGUCCAUGAACCUAGCAAAGAGAGGUCUUGUAAUGUCCUAUGUUCAUCAGUAAGGAACAACAAUUCAUCACGAUUCUCGAUUAAAUAUAGUGACAUUCGAAGGAUGGAUUGUAGUAAAUUUCAUUUAGUUAUAGUUGGGUUUCCGAUUAAAAACUUACACAAAUCUAAAGUUUUUUGUUAUCAACUCGUAUCAUUUUCACUUAUAUUUACGGUCGAAGUAACAUUAAAAAAGAUGGAAGAUAAAGAAGUACUACGUCGACCACUUUAUGCAUAGCAUCAUCUGUGUCUAUUAUAAAAUCAGAUAAUGGCAUACGAUGACAUUUACCUUAAAUAAAGUUGAUUUUGAUGGAGUUUAUACGCUGGAAAAGUGGAUAAGACAUUUAAAAUACUUGCACUAUUAGAUGUCGCUUACCUUUUGGAAUGACCAGGGUAAUGUAUGAAAUUUUAACAAUACCUGAAGUUUAUUAGUGCAUAAUAAAAUAAAUUUUAAAUAACACCGACCAAAUAAUAGAAGAAAAUAUUAAAGUAAUAUCUCAAGCACCAGAACCGGUAAACAAUGCAAGCUAGUAGAACCGUUGUGUCGAUUAUAAGGAAAAGAAACAAUCAAGUAGCAAAAGAACUGAAUGUUAUGGUCCUUUGGCUUUUGCACUAAGAGAUGUCACUACGAGAAGCACUAUUCAAAAGUCAUAUACCAUAUAUUAAAAUACUUUAUUGAUGAGAAAUAUAAAACAAAAUGUGAAAUGAUGAUGAAAAUGACGAAAAUGAAAUUGGUAAACAACGUAAGGGACAUUUUAAAAUUUGUAGAAUACAACAGCGUGAAUGGAAAACCAGAACAACGUAAUGAUCGAGCUAAUUUAAAGUGGUGUUCAUAUUAAAAAAAAAACAGGUGAAUAUCUAACAAAACUUUAACUAAAAUCUAACGAUCAGUAUAGCAGAACAUCAAUAACUUAUAAAACUAAGAGAGCAAUAACGGAAACAACUCUAUGGUUUGUGCAAAUCUAUAACUGCAAUAUUUUACGAAAGAUAUCUGGAGAGUUAAAACCUUUUUCCGCCUGAAAACAAAUCUUCUGAGUGGAUCCAGCAUAAAUAACGAUAAUGAUAUCAGCCUACAGAUUCGAAGAAGAAUUCAAGUUCAAGUGUCUCUUAUCAGGCCUAUUCUGUUGUAAAAUAUAGAAGCUUAAAAACUAAAUAUAAUGUGGAUUUCAAUUUUACAUCUGAUACACACGAUAACAUUAUCGUAGGCAUGCGGUUGAUAAUAUCGAAUAGAAAAUAUUUUGUUUCGCUAGUUGCCGGUGGAAAAUGCGGUCGAGGACAUUCACAUCUGACUGUUCUUGGAACUACCAACCAAUAAUAGCAAACCGCUGAUCGGGUUGACUGAAAUAAGCAAUGAGAUGUGGUAAAGGAUACUACACAUCUGUGAUGGUCUAUAAAAGUCAACUAAUUAAUAACCCAAGUAAAAGUGAAUAAGCACACUUUCCUGGAGUUGAGAGCUACCAAAUCCAAACGUGACUUUUCCAGAAACACAACUUGAUGUCCCAUUUCGCAAAAAUCAUGCGUUCGAAUAAUAUCGUAUAGUUCUACCGUUAAUGAAACCAAGCGCGAAGGCCGGAUUCAAGAAGCUGCGGGUGUUAAAUUAUGUAAG
This is a long non-coding RNA of Teleopsis dalmanni, 2351 nucleotides long. RefSeq lists it as uncharacterized. The record is from RefSeq and is a predicted model, not a curated record. Lineage: Eukaryota; Metazoa; Arthropoda; Insecta; Diptera; Diopsidae. The transcript has 5 exons.